GAUGAACGCUGGCGGCGUGCCUAAUACAUGCAAGUCGAGCGAACGGACGAGAAGCUUGCUUCUCUGAUGUUAGCGGCGGACGGGUGAGUAACACGUGUAUAACCUACCUAUAAGACUGGUAUAACUUCGGGAAACCGGCGCUAACACCGGAUAAUAUUUUGAACCGCAUGGUUCAAUAGUGAAAGACGGUGGUGCUGUCACUUAUCGAUGGAUAUGCGCUGCAUUAGAUAGUUGGGAAGGUAAAGGCUUACCAAGGCAAGGAUGCAUAGACGACGUGAGUGGCGGAUCGGCGACCUGGGAACGUAGCCGGCGACCAGACGACUACGGUAGGGCGCAGAAGCGAAUCGGACGCAAUGGUCGAAAGUCUGACGGAGCAACGCGACGCGAGUGAUGAAGGUGCUGGGAGCGGAAAACUCUGUUAUGAGGGAAGAACAGAUGUGUACGUAACUGUGGAGAUCUUGACGGUAACGAGUCAGAAAGCCACGGCUAACUACGUG
RNAcentral lists this ribosomal RNA (497 nucleotides) under uncultured bacterium. RNAcentral describes it as "partial 16S ribosomal RNA". It matches the Rfam family "Bacterial small subunit ribosomal RNA", at positions 28 to 507 of the family's 1533-position model. The record is from RNAcentral.